This is an RNA transcript of Trichechus manatus latirostris (Florida manatee), 4712 nucleotides long. It is a transcript of the gene named C-type lectin domain family 4 member C-like, with no coding region annotated. NCBI's taxonomy places the organism in Eukaryota, Metazoa, Chordata, Mammalia, Sirenia, Trichechidae. The transcript has 5 exons. The record is from RefSeq and is a predicted model, not a curated record.
GUAGAUAGAGAAGCUCUAUGAGGUUAGCCUCUUGGAAAGAAGCCAGACCUCUAUGGUAACAUCUUCAGGGAGAGUGACAUAAGAUCUCCCAGACCUCUUGAUAACAGGAGGUCAAAAGAGUGUGUGUGCACACAAUGGUGCUAAGACAACCUCAGGAUAGAGGUGAGCUCUCUUCUGGGUUCUAGAGAAGGUGAUAGGAGAGUAAGGAAAUGAGAAAACAAGCAUUGAGAUGAUGGGGAUGACUUUGGAAAAAGAAGACAGCUCUUAAGGAAAGAAUGGUGAAAUCAUAACAAUUUCAGUGUUGAAAUGGGUAUGGGACCAAGACUCAGUGAAAAAUGAAGAAAGGAAAAAAAAAAAGAAAACAACUCAGGCCUAGAAGCAUUUGAAAGAAUAAGAAUUUGAUCAUACGGAGAGGGAGAGAAGUCUGGUGGCAUCAGGUGAAGGUCUGGUCUGCUGCUGUGGUUUCCGUCUCACUCCUCAGUGCCUGUUUCAUCGUGAGCUGUUUGGGGCAAGAUAAAAAGGGAUUCGAGGAUGGCUAUUUAGUAUUUUGGAGCCCUGGCGGUGCUGUGGUUAAGAGCUUGGCUGCUAACCAAAAGUGAAUCAUGAUAUUUUUGUGAAUAGCAAAAUUGGGAAGAAGCUGUCCAAGCAACAAGAGUACGAACCAUUUCAUUCAACCGUGACCUGCCACAUAGAAAGAAAGGGGCUAAAAGGGAAAGGAUGGAGCUGCUGCCCAGAGAAUUGGGUCAUGUCUAAUACCAGCUGCUACUUUAUUUCUUCUGAAUUGAAUAAUUGGACUGAGAGUGAGAAGAACUGUGCUGGGAUGGGAGCUCAUCUGCUGGUGAUCAACGCUGAGGAGGAGCAGGUACCUUCUAACGGACCAUGAAGCAGGAGCCCUGCCUGGGGUUUGUUCAUCUGUUGGCUGAGAGGGGGUUUUAUUGUUCUGGGAUGUUGGUGCUGCUGCAGAAGGCUUUUAGGAAAGUGAAUAGGAGAGGUUCCUAAGCCUGUACAUUCUAUAUCUUCUUGCUGCUGUAAUAAAACCUCCUCCACUCAAAGAAAUUGUGCCAUUUACAAUGUAACAUGUGAGUGUUGAGUGGAAGGAAGAGAAAAUUUCAGUCUGAUAUAUCAGUUUGUUCUUUCAACAUGUAAAUUUCUUAUAUAUCAGUCACUACUUAACAAAGAAGGGGUAUUAAGUAGAAUAGAGAAAUAAAGUUGAAUCUUGAGAAUCACAAUCAACAUUCAGAAAUGAAGUUAAAGCAUUUCUGAAGUUAUGUAAGAAAAAUGAUUAAAUCUGUGAACGUUGUCUCAUGAACAACUUUGAAGAAUAUCAUUUCUUAGAGAAGGAAAGUGAGUAUGAGAUUAGAGUUCAGUCUGAUCAUGGUUAGAACUCUAUUCCAUGGGUUCAUAAGUGAUGUAUUUGGUCCUGCCCUGCUCAGCCACAGAAGUCCUGUGAUCAUGGUCAGGGGCCAUGUGGCUUUCCCUGGUUUCUAUUCUUUUCUUCUUUUCUCUCUAAGACCAUACAACCUAAGUACUCUACAGUCUGUGAGUCCUUUCUUUUCUUCUCUCAGCUAUUAAUAACUCAGAAGCUGGACAGGAAAGUUGCUUACUAUGUGGGGCUGUCAGACUCAGAAGGAACUCACCAGUGACAAUGGGUAGAGCAGUCACCAUACAACAAAAGUGUCACGUGAGUAUAGCAUUCAAUAAAAGAAUCCUGAAUCCUGCACCAUACUGUGCCAUUCCAGCUCUCAGCUACUAAACAACAAACAAUAACAAAGUAAUACUUAAAAAAAAAAAAAGUUGUAUUGGACACUGAAGUCUGUACUUUUAACCACAUUUAUAUCGCUAAAUACAAGAAAAAAUUCAUGUCGUAUAAGAUCAUAAUUAAUAAGAUUUAAUAUUUGUCCUAAAGCAAAAAUACUGAAUUUUGAUGAUAUUAUAAUUCUUAUUUAUGUAGUUUUUAGAGAACUUUAAAGUACUUUAGAAUACAUUACCACUUUUGAUCCUCAUACCAAUUGUGUGUCAUACUUGUGGAUAGUACUCAAUCCCCAUUUUUUAGGUAGGAAACUGGAAGCUCAGCAAAGAUGAAGUAGCAGAUGCAGAGAUCUUGACUAGUUCUCCAGACUUCAAUAGCAGUGUGUAAAGAACAAACUGUAUUGAUACUUGGGACCAGAGGGAAAUCUUUUCAUCACUGAAGGAAGCCCUAUGGGAUUGGUGGAGCCCUGGUUGUGUAGUGGUUAAGACCUUGGCUGCUAACCAAAAGGUUGUCAGUUUGAAUCCCGCAGCCACUCCUUAGAAACUCUAUGGGGCAGUUCUACUCUGUCCUACAGGGUCACUAUAAGUCGGAAUCAACUAGAGGGCAAGGGGUUUGGUUUUUUGUUUUUGUUUUUUAAUGGGAUUGGCAGCCCCACUGGAACAGGACAGAAGGAUGUACAAGCAGACGGGAGCCUCUGGGAUUCCUGAUGGGAGGAUGUUUAAUGCGGCCUGAGUUGCUUAAAGUGGCAGAAUACUGGGUGAUGUGGGUGCAAUUUUCAAGGGAAAUGUCAGUGACACAGAUGGAGGAGAAGCUGCUUAAACUUGAGGGUUUUACAAAAGGAGGCAGCAUGAGAAGUGGGGGAAGGAAUGAUUGGACGUAUCUGACCUGGACACCACACUGUUCAACCCAGCUCCUUCAGUCUCUCUUUUCAAAGUACAUUUGAAGAAAUAGCCUCAUCCUUUUUCUCUUUUUCAAAUUCUGGCAUCCUAGCGAACCCAAUGAUUAUAAUGAGCUUCGUGUUUUCAUAAUUUUUCUUAAUGGAAACUGGGGCUGGACUGACAUCCCUUGUGAUGGAAUUCAAAAGUCAAUCUGUGAGAUGAUGAAGAUCUACUUAUGAGUGGAACAUUCUCCAUGAAUAUGUGGUUGGAUUGGCAUUCACCAUGAAAGGAUUAACUUACUCUUUUCAUUUUUAUGGAAGUGUUGUGUAAGGGACGUCCAUAGAAUUUUUCAGUAAGCUGCCAUCUCUUCCAUUUAUGGUGGAAUCAGUUCAUACAGUUAUUUAUUCACGAAGUGAACAUUGAUUGAGAAUUUUCUAUGAGCCAGAGAUUUUACUGGAGAGUCCUUUUGCAGACACAUGGAGGGAGCAUGAGACUUCUCUCCUAAUUUCUGUCUGACUGCUAAUGGGUUAGGUACUGACAUCAGUAUUUGAUGUGGCUCCUCCCAUGUCUGGAUUUUUCUCUUUAUGGCCUGCCCAAAAUAGUUUUCCAUCUCUCUUAGAUAGAUUCAUUUCUCUUAGCUGAAAGCAUACUAUGUAGCAGCAAGAAUACAGGACACAUCUAUAGAAGGAAAGGUUCUAGCUUUAGCCUAGUAAAUUAUUUAUGUUCAGUCUUAGGCUGGCAGAUAUUUCUUUGCUUUAUAGAAACUAUGCAUUUCUGUGUAUGGAAACUAUGCAUUUCUGUGUGUGGAUUGUCACUCAGAAUGGCCUCUGGUUCGAUUUUAUUCCUCUUUUUACUAAAGUUCCUACAGAACUUCUACUACAAUAAAAAAUAUGUAUUUAUAAUGCAGCUUAUAAUUCAUUGCUGUAGCCUGGUGAUUAACACUGAUUAUGAUAAAAAUUGUUCCAUCCAUGGUUUUACUUGUAAUAGAUUUUCCCAGUGUGACCUGAGAUUAUGCCCUGAUCAUCUUGAGGCAAUUGAGUCAUUUCAUUUCUUCAGCCAUGCAUUUCCUGACUAUACAUUUAUUAGGAUAGGUUAUUUUAGCAGUUUGAGCUCAACCACUGUAUGCAGAAUUCACAGGUUUAAGGCUCAGGGAACAACGGAUACACAAUUCCUCUCACUUGUCCAUCUACAUGAGAAGUUUUAAACCUUGCUUGCACAUGAUGUUCACAAUCCUAGGGAGCUUUUAAAAAAGAUCUCAUACCUAGCAUCUGUUAUGUUUUCAAGUUCUUCUAAAUUGACACUCUCUGUUCUACAUCUUCAGUAGAAGGGGUACCAAAUUAAAAAAAGAAAAAGAAAAAAGUCUCUCCUAUGGAAUAUCAAUUUAUGCAUGAGCUCAGACCUAUGGGGUAGACACCUUCCCAACAGAUGUGAAGGGACUACAUUUGGUAACUGUAUUUGUUUCCUGUUGCCGCUGUAACAAAUUACCACAAAUGUAAAACUUAAAAGAAAGAAGAAAAAGUGGCUUAAAACAACACAAAUUUACUUUCUUACAGUUAGGGAGGACAAAAGAAAUCAGUUUCACUAGGCUAAAUUCAAGGUGUCAGCAGGGCUGGUUCCUUCCAGAGGCUCUAGGGAAGAAUCCAUUUUCUUGUCUUUUUUUAGCUUCUAGCAGCCACCUGUAUUUUUUUUGCUGUGGCCUUUUCCUCCAUCUUCAAAGUAUAUCAUUCCAAUCUCUGCUUCUGUCAUCACAUCUCUUCUAACUAUGACUCUUUCUGUAACUCUCUCAAAAGGACCAUUGUAAUUACAUUGGACCCACCUUGGAUAAUCCAGGAUAAUCUUACCAUCUCAAAAUGCUGAAUUUAAGCACAUCUGUAAAGUCCCUUUUGCUGUAUAAAGUAACAUUCACAGAUUCUGGGGAUUAGAAUGUGGGCAUAUUUGAGGGUAGAAUUCUUACCUUCCAUGUGGAAGACCUUGGUUUGAUUCCUGCAAGUGAAAGCUUGCAUGUUGCUGAUGCUGAACAGGUUCCAGCAGAACUUCCAGGCUAAAACAAGAAAGGCCUGGUGAUCUACUCUGAAAAACUAGAG